UCUCCGUAGGUGAACCUGCGGAGGGAUCAUUACAGAGUUCAUGCCCUACCGGGUAGAUCUCCCACCCUAUGUUAUUAUUACUUUGUUGCUUUGGCGGGCCGUUAGGCUCCGGCCCGACUACCGGCCCCGGCUGGUAAGCGCCCGCCAGAGGACCCAAAACCCUGAAUAUUAGUGUCGUCUGAGUACUAUAUAAUAGUUAAAACUUUCAACAACGGAUCUCUUGGUUCUGGCAUCAAUGAAGAACGCAGC
RNAcentral lists this unclassified non-coding RNA (249 nucleotides) under plant metagenome. RNAcentral describes it as "partial contains small subunit ribosomal RNA, internal transcribed spacer 1, and 5.8S ribosomal RNA". The stretch from base 201 to 249 matches the Rfam family "5.8S ribosomal RNA", at positions 1 to 49 of the family's 154-position model. The record is from RNAcentral.